RNAcentral lists this ribosomal RNA (433 nucleotides) under uncultured bacterium. Its description in RNAcentral is "partial 16S ribosomal RNA". It matches the Rfam family "Bacterial small subunit ribosomal RNA", at positions 29 to 507 of the family's 1533-position model. The record is from RNAcentral.
AACGAACGCUGGCGGCAUGCCUAACACAUGCCAGUCGAACGAGACCUUCGGGUCUAGUGGCGCACGGGUGCGUAACGCGUGGGAACCUGCCCUUAGGUUCGGAAUAACUCCCCGAAAGGGGUGCUAAUACCGGAUGAUGUCUUCGGACCAAAGAUUUAUCGCCUUUGGAUGGGCCCGCGUUGGAUUCGCUAGUUGGUAGGGUAAAAGCCUACCAAGGCGACGAUCCAUAGCUGGUCUGAGAGGAUGAUCAGCCACACUGGGGCUGAGACACGGCCCAGACUCCUACGGGAGGCAGCAGUGGGGAAUAUUGGACAAUGGGCGAAAGCCUGAUCCAGCAAUGCCGCGUGAGUGAUGAAGGCCUUAGGGUUGUAAAGCUCUUUUACCCGGGAUGAUAAUGACAGUACCGGGAGAAUAAGCUCCGGCUAACUCCGUG